UACAGAGGGGGCAAGCGUUGUUCGGAAUUACUGGGCGUAAAGGGCGCGUAGGCGGCCUGUUAAGUCGGACGUGAAAUCCCUCGGCUCAACCGGGGAACUGCGUCCGAUACUGGCGGGCUUGAAUUCGGGAGAGGGAUGUGGAAUUCCAGGGGUAGCGGUGAAAUGCGUAGAUAUCUGGAGGAACACCGGUGGCGAAGGCGGCAUCCGGGACCGACAUUGACGCUGAGGCGCGAAAGCCAGGGGAGCAAACGGG
This 253-nucleotide ribosomal RNA is filed under the name uncultured bacterium. RNAcentral describes it as "partial 16S ribosomal RNA". It matches the Rfam family "Bacterial small subunit ribosomal RNA", at positions 524 to 776 of the family's 1533-position model. The record is from RNAcentral.